ACUCAAAUGAAUUGACGGGGGCCCGCACAAGCAGCGGAGCGUGUGGUUUAAUUCGAUGCAACGCGCAGAACCUUACCGGGGUUUGACAUGCUGGUGACUGCUCCAGAGAUGGGGCUUCCCUUCGGGGCACCAGCACAGGUGCUGCAUGGCUGUCGUCAGCUCGUGCCGUGAGGUGUUGGGUUAAGUCCCGCAACGAGCGCAACCCUCGUCGCUAGUUGCAUCUUUCUAGCGAGACCGCUGCGCAAAACGCAGAGGAAGGUGGGGAUGACGUCAAGUCAUCAUGGCCUUUAUGCCCCGGGCUACACACACGCUACAAUGGACGGUACAGACGGUUGCCAAGCCGCGAGGUGGAGCUAAUCCGAGAAAGCCGUCCUCAGUUCAGAUUGCAGGCUGCAACUCGCCUGCAUGAAGACGGAGUUGCUAGUAACCGCAGGUCAGCACACUGCGGUGAAUACGUUCCCGGGCCUUGCACACACCGCCCGU
This 483-nucleotide ribosomal RNA is filed under the name uncultured bacterium. RNAcentral's name for it is "partial 16S ribosomal RNA". It matches the Rfam family "Bacterial small subunit ribosomal RNA", at positions 899 to 1397 of the family's 1533-position model. The record is from RNAcentral.